UUAAUCUUAGAUGUGAUGAGUGGUUUGUUCUAUAAAGUUCCAUAGAGGCAAGGCUUUUCCUUGCUAUUAUAUGCUUGGAUCCACUUGAUCACUGUGAAUCUCUAUAAUUAAUCAUUUCCAGAUUUCUGAGGAUGGGUUACUAUUGCUAUAAACGCAAUUAUAGUACUCAUACAUCAGAUGUUAUUGUGAUGUUGGCGGUGGCCUUGAUGCUUCUUGGCAUACCUUGGCUCUUUACGCGUGAACAAGUGGUGGUAGUUGAAGAAAAGAAGACGAAUUGGUCAGCUUUGAUCACACCGAUACUAGUACUACUCAUCUUGCUUUUGCUGUCACUGAUUGGAACUCCCAGGAGGGUUUAUGCAAAGCCAACGUGCUAUCGGUGGAAGAAAAAGAAGAACAGGAGAAGAAAGGAAAACAGCAUGGUUUCUUCAUGACUUGAAAAUUGAAAUGGCUGAAGCGUGACCUAUUACCUAAAGUUUGUCCCCACCGCAGCUCAACUAUUUUCUUUUGUAUCAGCCUGACUCAGUAUAAAGCGGUAGCUUUUAAGGGGAUUACGCAUCUUUGCGCAACCACCACACAGGGGAUGUAUUUGCAAAUUGCAAUUAACAAGCUUUUUCUUAUUAUAGUAUAACAUUCACUUUACUUAUAAUUAAAGUGUCAUUUAUUAUAUUUUUUCAUUACACUUACUUAUAAUUAAGAUGUAAUCACAUUUAUUUUUAAUAA
This is a long non-coding RNA of Glycine soja, 720 nucleotides long. RefSeq lists it as uncharacterized. The record is from RefSeq and is a predicted model, not a curated record. The transcript has 2 exons. NCBI's taxonomy places the organism in Eukaryota, Viridiplantae, Streptophyta, Magnoliopsida, Fabales, Fabaceae.